AUUGAACGCCGGCGGCAUGCUUUACACAUGCAAGUCGAGCGGCAGCGCGGGGGCAACCCUGGCGGCGAGCGGCGAACGGGUGAGUAAUGCAUCGGAACGUAUCCUCGAGUGGGGGAUAACCCAGCGAAAGUUGGGCUAAUACCGCAUGAGCUCUGAGGAGGAAAGCGGGGGACCUGCGAGGGCCUCGCGCUGGAGGAGCGGCCGAUGUCCGAUUAGCUAGUUGGUGGGGUAAAGGCUUACCAAGGCGACGAUCGGUAGCUGGUCUGAGAGGAUGAUCAGCCACACUGGGACUGAGACACGGCCCAGACUCCUACGGGAGGCAGCAGUGGGGAAUUUUGGACAAUGGGGGCAACCCUGAUCCAGCCAUGCCGCGUGAGUGAAGAAGGCCUUCGGGUUGUAAAGCUCUUUCGGACGGAACGAAAUGGGCGGGACUAAUACUCCUGUCUGAUGACGGUACCGUAAGAAGAAGCACCGGCUAACUACGUG
This 486-nucleotide ribosomal RNA is filed under the name uncultured bacterium. RNAcentral describes it as "partial 16S ribosomal RNA". It matches the Rfam family "Bacterial small subunit ribosomal RNA", at positions 29 to 507 of the family's 1533-position model. The record is from RNAcentral.